RNAcentral lists this ribosomal RNA (692 nucleotides) under Klebsiella sp. BEB24. RNAcentral's name for it is "bacterial SSU rRNA". It matches the Rfam family "Bacterial small subunit ribosomal RNA", at positions 790 to 1482 of the family's 1533-position model. The record is from RNAcentral. Lineage: Bacteria; Pseudomonadati; Pseudomonadota; Gammaproteobacteria; Enterobacterales; Enterobacteriaceae.
GUAGUCCACGCUGUAAACGAUGUCGAUUUGGAGGUUGUGCCCUUGAGGCGUGGCUUCCGGAGCUAACGCGUUAAAUCGACCGCCUGGGGAGUACGGCCGCAAGGUUAAAACUCAAAUGAAUUGACGGGGGCCCGCACAAGCGGUGGAGCAUGUGGUUUAAUUCGAUGCAACGCGAAGAACCUUACCUGGUCUUGACAUCCACAGAACUUUCCAGAGAUGGAUUGGUGCCUUCGGGAACUGUGAGACAGGUGCUGCAUGGCUGUCGUCAGCUCGUGUUGUGAAAUGUUGGGUUAAGUCCCGCAACGAGCGCAACCCUUAUCCUUUGUUGCCAGCGGUUCGGCCGGGAACUCAAAGGAGACUGCCAGUGAUAAACUGGAGGAAGGUGGGGAUGACGUCAAGUCAUCAUGGCCCUUACGACCAGGGCUACACACGUGCUACAAUGGCAUAUACAAAGAGAAGCGACCUCGCGAGAGCAAGCGGACCUCAUAAAGUAUGUCGUAGUCCGGAUUGGAGUCUGCAACUCGACUCCAUGAAGUCGGAAUCGCUAGUAAUCGUAGAUCAGAAUGCUACGGUGAAUACGUUCCCGGGCCUUGUACACACCGCCCGUCACACCAUGGGAGUGGGUUGCAAAAGAAGUAGGUAGCUUAACCUUCGGGAGGGCGCUUACCACUUUGUGAUUCAUGACUGGGGUG